GGAAGGGUUUUCAAUGUUGGUAGUUGGAGUUGAGCUGUAAACUCAAUGGUUAUAUACCUUCAUAGGUUCGAUUCCUAUCCCUUUCA
Arxiozyma heterogenica is the source of this 86-nucleotide non-coding RNA. Lineage: Eukaryota; Fungi; Ascomycota; Saccharomycetes; Saccharomycetales; Saccharomycetaceae. The record is from the annotation of a RefSeq genome assembly.